AGGAUUCGUACAAUGAAAGAUGGAAGAGAUUAUUACAGAAUGAUUUUUUCCCCCUUUUAUUAAAGUCUUUCAAAAUCUCUAGAUUGAAUGACAAACAAAUUGUAAGAAUUUUUAUCUGUAUUUUCUAUUUAAAAUUUAGUAAGUUGAGAACUUUGUAAUUGAUUAGAAGUUAUUAAUAUUUGAAUACCCGUGAGUUUUUAGGACUUUAAAUUUUAAUCUAAUACUCAAUCAUUUUUCAAGACUUUAAAAAGUCUAUGAAAUGCUACAUUAAAUACACCUAGAUAUUUUAGAUGUGUGAAAGUAUUUAAAAGUUUCAAUCUUCUUAUAUUCUUUAUAAUUUUGUUUGGCUAUGUGUUCUUGGGGGCAUUUUGGAGUUGAUCGGGUCACUAUCUAGGAUCAAAUAUCUCCAUUUAAUUAUUUACAUAUCUUUUUAUUAUUCUCUAUUUUUGAAAUAUGAUUUAAUUGAAAGAUAUGAAAAUAAAAUAAAAAGAUUCGGGAUGGAUAAAGCAAUUCAAGGCAUGGACCAUAUUUUCAUCCCCAUCCGAUUGACUAUUUUGGUCAAGGUAAUGUGAGUUGAGUCGAGCAGAAUUUUAUCAUCCGCAUCAUUCAAAGGGAAGAUUAUUGAAAAAAAAAAUAAAAAAAAAUGAGAACAAAGUUUCAAAUCGAUACUUGAAGUAGUGAUAAAUUUAUAAGGGAGAGAGGGGCAGAAACUCAAAAGUGACUUCAACCCCAAAAGAUAAAGAAUAAUUCUUGCAAUGCUGCCAGCACUGCUUGUGUACAUAUACAAUGGGAUUUCCCCUUGUAAAUGUAGCAUAUCGGAAAGAUAAAUAGUUAUCUUCCAUAGUUAUUAUUCAAAAUCUUGCUUUUGUGAUGAAUGUAGGUUAAAGAAUCAGUAAACUAAAAAUGGAUAAUUAAAAAUCAAAUUUAAACAGAUACAAAUAUAUAAAUUUCGUAAAUGAGAAUGUAUAUACACGUGAGUAUAGGUGAGAAACAUUAGGUUUCCCCUUUCGUCCCUAUAGUUUUAGUUUUUGGUCAACAAUGCCCUUAUUCAUUCUUCACGUUUCACAAAAAUUUUUGUGGUUUUUUAUGUUUAUUAUUCUAGUAAUAAUUAACUUUUAGACUCAAUUCCUUUAAAAACAUUAAUUCAAAUAAAAAAAUUAAACAUAAAAGAACUGAAAGUUCACAUUAUAGAAGUAUAUAA
This 1201-nucleotide long non-coding RNA is filed under the name Olea europaea subsp. europaea. Lineage: Eukaryota; Viridiplantae; Streptophyta; Magnoliopsida; Lamiales; Oleaceae. The record is from RNAcentral.